RNAcentral lists this small RNA (86 nucleotides) under Algibacter luteus. RNAcentral's name for it is "Arenitalea lutea Flavo-1 RNA". Lineage: Bacteria; Pseudomonadati; Bacteroidota; Flavobacteriia; Flavobacteriales; Flavobacteriaceae. The record is from RNAcentral.
AACGAGCCCGCGUUAGGGAUUGUAGUGAAUAGCUUUUGGUGAGGUGCGCAUCGAGCCAAAACUUGUAGCGGAAAGCCCGACCCUUG